This 433-nucleotide ribosomal RNA is filed under the name uncultured bacterium. Its description in RNAcentral is "partial 16S ribosomal RNA". It matches the Rfam family "Bacterial small subunit ribosomal RNA", at positions 29 to 506 of the family's 1533-position model. The record is from RNAcentral.
AGCGAACGCUGGCGGCAGGCCUAACACAUGCAAGUCGAACGAACCUUUCGGGGUUAGUGGCGGACGGGUGAGUAACACGUGGGAACGUGCCUUUAGGUUCGGAAUAACUCAGGGAAACUUGUGCUAAUACCGAAUGUGCCCUUCGGGGGAAAGAUUAAUCGCCUUUAGAGCGGCCCGCGUCUGAUUAGCUAGUUGGUUGAGGUAAUGGCUCACCAAGGCGACGAUCAGUAGCUGGUCUGAGAGGAUGAUCAGCCACAUUGGGACUGAGACACGGCCCAAACUCCUACGGGAGGCAGCAGUGGGGAAUCUUGCGCAAUGGGCGAAAGCCUGACGCAGCCAUGCCGCGUGAAUGAUGAAGGUCUUAGGAUUGUAAAAUUCUUUCCCCGGGGACGAUAAUGACGGUACCCGGAGAAGAAACCCCGGCUAACUUCGU